UCUUAAAAUUUUUUACUCAUUUUUAUUAUUAAUAAUUGACGAGACUGAUAGAAUAACUAGAUAAUUACAUGUGGCGUGUCACGUGUAUCUCAUGCUGACAUAAAGGACCAAUUUUGAAUAGUAGAAGUCGAUGAAACUUUUAACA
Non-coding RNA from Gossypium raimondii (Peruvian cotton), 145 nucleotides. Lineage: Eukaryota; Viridiplantae; Streptophyta; Magnoliopsida; Malvales; Malvaceae. The record is from Rfam.